AAACCCAUCGUUUCCUCAGCUCUAUGUUUUGCUUUCGAAUUAGUUCUUCGUCUCCUUCGCUGAUUCUCAACAACAACCGUCAAAUCGAUGGUUUCCUGAUAAAUCUGUGUCCGAUUAAUUAUUUUCAUCGUUCCAUCAUACAGUAGUUCUCUCUAUCUCUUCUUCUCUAUCUGUUUUCUUCACGGCUAAAAAACAAAAUAAUUUUCCAGGAAAUCCAAGACCUGUAAAAGCAUCAAAAUUAUCCAGGAGAUUGAAGAACAUGGCAGCGGUUAAGCUUGCCCUUUCCCUGUUCUCUUUCGAUCUCAAUAGGUACACAAACGAGAACUCUUAACCAGGUUACUGAUUUGGGCUAUGUUUUGUUGUUCCUCACCAAAUUCUUACCUAGCAGGUAACCAAUCAAUGAAGCCAAUUUAUACCCUUGCAUAGCUUUGACGGAUUGACACACAGUUGAACCGUUUGUUGGUUUUGUAUAUGGUGGUGACGUUGUAUCGGGAUUGAAGAAUGUCAACUUAUGUGCUGCAUUCAAGGCUGGGAAGAAUGAACAUUGAUGGAUGAUUUAAGAUGAUUAUCUCGAAUAAGUCUAGCCAAAGUGCAUGACAUUAGCUGCGUUUAUUAUGGAUGAUCCCAUAGCAGAUUAUUCUCAACUGUGGAUUGCACAUAAAUAAAAACCAUAACUAUAACUGUAUUAUCAAGUUCUUUUGGGGUUUUGAUUCUUCUUUUUGAUUGAACUAUAUCGGCAGUGUAUCUCAAAUCAAUACCUCAAUACCGCUAUAUCUUUAAAUAGAGGGAAGGAGAGUUGAGCCUUAACUGGGAGUGUAUGAUGCCAGAACAAACCGAAACUGACAGGCAUAUCAUCUUGAGAGCCAAUGGGAGAUAUAUACUACUAAAUGCAAGGAUGAAACUGCAAGUGUAAAUGACCAUGGUGCUACGGAACUUCAUCAUCUUGAGAGCCAGUGGCAGCAACCCGAAUCGAAUUCCUUCACUGAGAUGAUACAGCCUAGCAGAUCACGGGUAUUUACUUUCCUGUUCUUCCUGUGAAACUUGCUGAGUUUCUGGAAUGAUGUAGGAAAUUCUAUCUAAAAGGUCAGAUUAUCUAAAUAAGUAUACGUUAUCUUCGAUUGUGUUUGCCUUCUACCGGCUAUCUCAUGUGAUUGCACCGACUUGGUUUGCCUCUACUAUUUAUUUUCAAAUGUAGUAAGCUUCACUGUGAUUGCAUGUUAAUUGGUUUUUUUUCUUAUCGUCUCUCGGAGAUCUCUUAUAGGGUCACUGAUGUAAUCUUAGAUGUGGCAUAUUUCUGUUGCAGGGUAAUGGGGCUGAUCUUCAAAAUAUUUUUGUGAUUACCUUCAUUCAUAUGUCCAGUCCUAAUUGAUCUUGUUAGUAUUUCUAUGUCUAAUCUGUAGUGCUCUAAGAGGCAUCUGUGGUUAGAGAUGAAAAUACUAACCCUAUUUCAGUUAGACAGAACAAACACAUAUGCCCGUCAGAAUUGUAAUUCUCUUCUAAACAAAUACGUAACAGUGUAUUUGUUACUAUUUCUUGGUCACAGCUACGCCUAAAGGAAAAUCACAGUGUACAGUGAGCGGUGGCAGACUGCAUGAAUUAUCCCUACCUUCUGGCAAAUAUUAUCGUUUUCUGUUUUGUGUGUGAUAGUUGCACUUUGGACACCAUUGCAGAAUUCAACAUGCCCAUGUUUGGCAGGUGUUUUGACUGGUUGAAUUUCAUACCCUCCCAAGAAUAGAUGAUACCGGAUGUCGAGGCCUUAUAUUUGAAACUCAAAGCAGUGGCAGUCCCAAAAUGUUACAGUGAUCACUUCUUGGCAGAAAAGCAGUAUAAGUACUAUGCUUGCUGCUGAGACUGUGACAGUCACAGGAGGAGUGGACACAACUAAUUAUGAAUAUACAUUUAAGAAAUUGUAUAACACGACCAGAAACUUAUGGUGAUGAAUGGGAAGAUGAUGAGUUUAUUGUAUGAGAUCAUGAAGACUUUAGCAAGUAUUUACCAGCAACGGUUAGUACGAUACAUCCCCUCUGAAAUAAUGUGUUGUUCUAUUCAGCUGUGUACUUUUCAGUGAAAUACAAGUACAAACUCCAAGUUUAACUAAAGUGGGUAGCAGAACACGACUUAUGCUCCAAAUUAAGGUAACCAGAGGCACGAGUUAAUAGCUAAAAUAGUGAAAGUCAAUAGUAGUUGUAUGUUACAAUCACUUUUUUCUCGAGAGAUGUAACGCCCUUUAUUCUAAUUUGUGUUGCUCUAAGUUCCCUCUUCUUUUCCGAGACCAUCUUAUGUGGCUUUGCUCAUUCUUUUAGUUCUUAUUUACCACUCCUGAGCAUCAGAUCAACUGUGAAGUGCGGAAAUUCUCCCACUAGCGAUUGAUUUUUUAUUCUGAUGUUAUUUUCACUAUUUCUU
Long non-coding RNA from Papaver somniferum (opium poppy), 2403 nucleotides. RefSeq lists it as uncharacterized. The transcript has 9 exons. Lineage: Eukaryota; Viridiplantae; Streptophyta; Magnoliopsida; Ranunculales; Papaveraceae. The record is from RefSeq and is a predicted model, not a curated record.